GCCACAGAGGCAGGUGCUCCUGUCCCCAGGUUACAGACAUGGAGACUGAGGCAAGCAAGAGUCCACACCUCAGCAUACGGUAGCAAGGCCUCUCAGAGCCUGCUCCACCCUCACCGCUGCCAUUCUUCUGGCCAUUCUUCCUUCCAUGUCCCCCUCCAGGCCUGUCCUUAAUCUGCUUAGCACAGUGGCUAGUGUAGGGUGACUAGUGUGGGGUGUCUGUGAAUAUUGCAUAAAUCAAUACUUUCAUGGCUCCAACAACAGCACUGAGCAUGUAUGGAAGUGCUAGGGAUCAAACACAGGGCCUCACCCAUGCUAGGCAAGUCCCCUACCACUGAUACACCCCCAGCCCGCUAUAUGGAAUUUCUUAAAAGUUAUCUAAAUGGCUUCCCUACCAGAGUUCCUCAUUUCUGCCACCUGAUGACUUCCAUUCCCAGACAAACUAAAGCCAAAGUCCUAGACUAUGGGUCCCUGUUCAUCCCUGAGCAGACAGAUCCUGCUGUAGAGAGCUGAAGAUAGGCCUGUUUCCAUCUUCCCACUUUUGUCCAGAUGAGGGACUCUUUAUCUGCUGCCACUCCCUCACUUUCUUUCCUACAAGCUAAUAAAAAAACCCUUCUAAGAUAUGAUUCAAGAAAAUAUCUUUUAUGCAGUCUUUUCUGACAACUCCCAUCCCAUACCAAUUAGAACUAAAAACCCUUUUUGUGAUCCAACACCACCCCUGUUCAUAUCCACCCAGCAGCAGCUCCUCUGAAGGUGGGGCUCACAUCUGGGAUCUGCAUCUUUAGGUCUGGCACAGGCCUGCCUUCAGUAGACACUCCACUCUGCUCCCUGGGAGUAUCUCUGGGGAGAAGCCACUCCCAUGUGGCUGAGACUGUCAGGAUCAGGGAUUUCUCCUUCCGAAGGGAGAAUCACCCACCUCUUGGGGGAGAUAGGAGCAGAGAGGAGACCCCUGGGUGAAAGGACCUGUACAAUUUUAGAGAAAGAAAGAACAGGAGACAUCAGUGUGGCCCCACGGGGAACCCAACCCGCUGGCAUCCUGCACCAGGACAGAGCACAAAACCUUACCCCUCCUCCUGCCUUUUAUCUUGGGAAACCAUAAAGCCCACUCUGUAGGCCAGCAACCUGUAGGAAGGCACAAAGGGGCCACAGUGGUUGUUUGGCCUUCCUCUCUGGUCUGUCUGGGCCUCUGGGCUAAAGAGAGAGUUCUUUCAGUUUCUUCUGGUCCCAGCUCCACCCCUGGUGAGACACCCCUGGGUGAGUCACCCCUGGAUUACUCCUGGGCCCACCCUCCAAAGGAGUCCACAAGUGUGGCUGCCACUGGUCUGCCCACAUUCCUCUCUGCAGCCAGGGCCAAAGGCAGAAGCUUAUCUCCCCUAGCCUUGCCACCUUCCCACCCUACACCCAGUCCUGUGGCUCGACCUUUCCCCAUCCUCCUGAUCUCCCUACUUCUUGUCACAUCUGUUACGAAGCCCUAGUCCAAAUUCCCAUCAGGUCUUAGUCACACUACUGCAAAAGCUUCCUGAAUAUCCUGUCACGUGCUACGAUAUGGAUGAACCUAAGGACACCACGCUGGGGGAGAUGGGCCAGUCAUAAAAGGACAAACCCUGCACGAUUCUACUAACACAAGGGAUUGAACUCGGGUCCUUGCACUUCCGAGACAGGCAGUGGAACCACUGAGCUAAAUUCCCAGCCCCAAAGAUGAUUUUAACGAAAAAAAAAACAAAACCUCUGAAAUGCUGUCUCUACUUCCUGCUUGACCUCUAUUUAACUAAAGUGGACAUUUCUCAAUACAGAUCUGAUAAAGGCAAGCUUCUGUGAGUAAAACUUUCAAAAGAUAUGCAUUUUUCUCUCUCUCUUUCUCUCUCUCUUUUGUUUGUUUGUUUUUUUGAGAUUACAGGCAUGUGUCACCAUGCCUAGCUUGGGCAAAGAUUUUGUGGCUAUGACCUCAAAAGCACAGGUAACAAAUCAAAAAUUUAAAAAUGGAAUUAUAUCAGACCAAAAAGCUCCUGCACAGCAGAGGAAACAACCAAGAGAGUUAAGAGGCAAUCUACAGAACAGGAGAAAAAUACUUGCAAAGUAUUUAUCAGACAGGAAAUUACUAUCCAUAAUAUAUAAGGAGCUCAAACAAUUCAAUUUAAAAAUGAACAAAUGAUCUGAAUAGACAUUUCUCAAAAGAAAAUGUACAGAUGGUCAGCAAGUGUGUGAAACAAUGUUUAACAUCAGUAAUUAUCAGGGAAAUGCAAAUCAAAAACCCAGUGAGGUCUCUCACCCCAGUUGGAAUAGUUGUAAUGUAAAAAACAAACAAACAGGCCAGGGAUUUAGCUCAGUGGCACCGUGCCUGCCUUGCAAGUGCAAGGACCCAGAGUUCUAUCCUGGGUACCAAAACAAACAAACAAACAAACCAUACACGGUUGGUGGGAAUGCAAAUUCGGGUGGCCAUUAUGGAAAAUAGUACAAAGGUUCCUCAAAAAACUAGAAAUAGGGCCAGGGAUUUAGCCCAGUGGUUCUGGGACCUGCCUGGCAAGCUCAAGGACCCGAGUUCGAUCCCCAGUACCAAAACAAAACAAAACAAAACUAGAAAUAGAGCCUCCUUAAGAUCCAGCAAUCCCACUGGGAAAUGGAAAGAAAGUGUUCAAAUGUGAAGGAGAACAAAAGAGGAAGGAGGAAAAAAGGAAAGAAGAGACAAGAAAAAAGUGAAAAUAG
Heterocephalus glaber (naked mole-rat) is the source of this 2700-nucleotide long non-coding RNA. Lineage: Eukaryota; Metazoa; Chordata; Mammalia; Rodentia; Bathyergidae. The record is from Ensembl.